Molecule: long non-coding RNA, 704 nt
Organism: Rhinolophus ferrumequinum (greater horseshoe bat)
Lineage: Eukaryota; Metazoa; Chordata; Mammalia; Chiroptera; Rhinolophidae
Exons: 11
Source: RefSeq, a predicted model, not a curated record
GAGGUGGGCCUGGAGGCGGAGCUGAAGACGACGCUGGCGGGGAGAGUGCGUCAUGACGUCAUGGCAAGGAAUCCUUAUAUACAGGCUCCUGGACGCCAUCUCGGUCUUUCGAGGCUGGAAGUCGGGUGUUCGGUAUGCUAGGCACGAGUGCAGUGUGGCUUUUGUUGGCUUCUGAUGGACAGCUCUGUGCCAAAGGAAUGAGAACAGUCACUGGGAUCCAGAAGUGCAAGCAUCACGCUCUAGCCAUGGGCAGACAGAAAGAACUGUAGAAAGAACUAGCUGAAAGCUGACGUGCGUGGUGGUGGACUUGAGUCUUUGACCUGUUUGGACUGGCUUUAGUUUUUUUGCUACUGGAUCCACAUUUUACCUGUGGAUGGCAUGCUCAGGGUGCAGAUUUUGGAAACCUUUUCUAUAAAGGUGUGAAGAGGUGUGUUGGCUACAGGUCUGGAGCAGAGUUUUUAAGCAAAGGCAGACCUUCCAUUGUGAAGAUUUCAAGGGCAUUUAUGACGUCAGUCAUGCAGCUGACCUGUUGAGGUAAGCCUUCAAAACAUCAGCAGUGUUGUCUUAUUCCAGAAUACAUGAUGAUCUCACCCAAACUUGAACUCUCUCACUGAUUACUUGAUGAUGAUAAAAGAUCUGAUAUUCUGUGUACUUCAAAUACCUUUAGAAUUGAAAUAUGGAAAUGCAACUGAAAAUAGCUUUGU